UACCUGGUUGAUCCUGCCAGCAGUCAUAUGCUUGUCUCAAAGAUUAAGCCAUGCAUGUGCAAUGUGGCACCCCGGCUCAGAGAAACCGGAACGCCCCGUAUUCCAGCCCAGAGAUCGAGGAGAAGUCUUCUGGAAUACGGCAUUGCUUAGCAUAGAACAAAUCAGCUCUUUAUUAAAAUCUAUAUGGGUACAAUUGGAUUACUUCGGCACGGCGACAAUACACCUGCCACAGUUGCUCCAAGCAAGCAGCAGAACAACACGAUGUAGCGGAAUGACUACUGGUAGCGGAAAAGCGACGACGGCGGUGAACUCCAGUCCGCAGGGACUCUGGCUGGAACGCUUAUCCAAGAGCGCAAACAAGGGGUCCACGGCAAACAAGCAAUCAUAUCUGGCAUGACCUACAAACUGGCAUGACACGCCAGGUCAGUACAUUGAAUGUACUUGCAAGCUCACAGCAACCAAAGCAAUCAAGACAAGCAAUAGCAUGGCAAUUAUAGAUUAUUAAGCAAUGAUUAACAUGAUUCUAUCAGAUCAACCAUAGCAUGGGCAAGAUGAUACAUCUAGAACAAUACGAGCAUGGCAUAAACAUAUGAACAUGAUGAGACUAGCAUGCCACAUGAUGAACUAUCAUGCACCAACUUACUCUGUUCGGGUUACAUCGUAACCACCACAUGUAUCACUUACCAUCACGGACAUCACACGAUCAUCUCAGGAUCCAAUCAAGCUUGGUAUUAACAAUACCGUAGUAAUCAUACAUGACCACAAGGAGCUUGAUCUUUACCCUUGACUCUCGCAUAACACCCCAAAUAUCCAACGAGUCGGUAUCCACGAUACCACAGUGAUCCUCUCACGAUCACAUAAGUAUCAACCAACUUCUUUCAUCAUCAAACCGGGGUUGUUAUUAAUCAAAUUAUUAUUACUAUUACUGUUGACCCAUAGUGUGACCGACAUGAACUGGGCACAUAUCCGCGGGCGCGGCUAUCGAUAGAUUAAACGCACACUCUGCAGAGGUUAGCACACUGUACCCACACCACGGAACCCAUGGUCUCGCACUCCCAUACGUGCGGACACGACGUUCUGACAAAACCGACCUACUGCCAUGACACUCUCCCGGCCACUCCGACAAGCUCCCCUUUGGGCUAAGUCCUGGGUAGCUAUGCGGAGCCAUCCCUCCGCAGCUAGCUUCUUAGAGGGACUAUCGCCGUUUAGGCGACGGAAGUUUGAGGCAAUAACAGGUCUGUGAUGCCCUUAGAUGUUCUGGGCCGCACACGCGCGCUACACUGAUGUAUUCAACGAGUAUAUAGCCUUGGCCGACAGGCCCGGGUAAUCUUGGGAAAUUUCAUCGUGAUGGGGAUAGAUCAUUGCAAUUGUUGGUCUUCAACGAGGAAUGCCUAGUAAGCGCGAGUCAUCAGCUCGCGGUGACUACGUCCCUGCCCUUUGUACACACCGCCCGUCGCUAUUACCGAUCGAAUGGUCCGGUGAAGUGUUCGGAUCGCGGCGACGGGGGCGGUUCGCCGCCUCCGACGUCGCGAGAAGUCCAUUGAACCUUAUCAUUUAGAGGAAGGAGAAGGCGUAACAAGGUUUCCGUAGGUGAACCUGCGAAAGGAUCAUUG
Molecule: ribosomal RNA, 1613 nt
Filed under: Aegilops tauschii subsp. strangulata
Lineage: Eukaryota; Viridiplantae; Streptophyta; Magnoliopsida; Poales; Poaceae
Description: rRNA SSU_rRNA_eukarya
Rfam family: Eukaryotic small subunit ribosomal RNA
Source: Rfam by way of RNAcentral